UCCGGCCACCAGCCUCGUCACCUGCGGGCUUCGCAACAGUACGAGGAGGCCACUGUGGAGGUCGGUUGUGCUGUCCACGGAGGCCAUACAAGCCGUCCAGUCCCUCAAGCUGGCCAUACAAGCCCCGGUUGAACCACGUCCUCAGCACGACCCUCGCUCGGCUCUUGAAAUCCGAUCUGUUGAACACCUUCGCCGAGCUCAAGAGACAGAACGAGGUCGAUUUGGCCCUCAAGCUCGAUGAAAUGGAUAAUCUCUCCGGUUCACACCACAUGGCCUUCAACUUUUCUAAUUGUGAAAGUCCCUCGAGUUGUAUCAUUCAAGAAGGAGAGAGCUCUAAAGCCGACAAAUUUUCCAAAUUUUUCAAGCUGGACAAGAGUGAUCUUGGCGGGUUGACUUUAUCAAGGUUUAACUGCACCAGAGAAGAUGGAAGAUGUGCGCAGGAUAGCAGGGCCAGUACAGACAAAGUAAGUAUGUUUAGAAGAGAAAGCGAGCCUCACAUUUUUGGGGGCACAGUGGUAUGCCAAAGGCACAAGUCAAUUUCUUUCAGUUUAAACAACCUCCCAAUCCACCAUUGGUCUCAAGUGUGCAGUACCUUUGGUCCUUCUGUAUAACCAGUGCCAUCAUGUAGAAUCAAUUCGACCAAAUUUCUCAGAUCGGAGAGAUUAGGAACCGACCGCAACGAAGUAGACUAGACUCGUAAACACAUCAAGCUCGUGAGAAGCUCCGGCAAACUCUUGGAUCUCACAAUAUUCUAAGCCUAGUUUUUCCAAGGCGGGGAAGCAGAUUCAUAUUACUUGGCAAAUUGAAAGUUUGUGUACGCAAUAAAUUUAAGAUUCUCAACGACGACAAUGUUCCGAUUUGCACAGGGACUUCAACCGCCAACUCUGGACAACUAUAGAGAGACAUGUAGCUUUUCCAAAUUCUCCAACAUUCUAAUAACACUAGGUAACUCCCAUUGGUUUC
Long non-coding RNA from Syzygium oleosum, 963 nucleotides. RefSeq lists it as uncharacterized. The record is from RefSeq and is a predicted model, not a curated record. NCBI's taxonomy places the organism in Eukaryota, Viridiplantae, Streptophyta, Magnoliopsida, Myrtales, Myrtaceae. The transcript is spliced from 2 exons.